Molecule: ribosomal RNA, 304 nt
Filed under: uncultured bacterium
Lineage: Bacteria
Description: partial 16S ribosomal RNA
Rfam family: Bacterial small subunit ribosomal RNA
Source: RNAcentral
CAGCAGUCGCCACGGGAAUACGGAGGGUGCAAGCGUUAAUCGGAAUUACUGGGCGUAAAGCGCACGCAGGCGGUCUGACAAGUCAGAUGUGAAAUCCCCGGGCUUAACCUGGGAACUGCAUUUGAAACUGUCAGGCUGGAGUCUUGUAGAGGGGGGUGGAAUUCCAGGUGUAGCGGUGAAAUGCGUAGAGAUCUGGAGGAAUACCGGUGGCGAAGGCGGCCCCCUGGACAAAGACUGACGCUCAGGUGCGAAAGCGUGGGGAGCAAACAGGAUUAGAUACCCCUGUAGUCCCUGUCUAUUAUAC